Molecule: ribosomal RNA, 612 nt
Filed under: Lipomyces tetrasporus
Lineage: Eukaryota; Fungi; Ascomycota; Lipomycetes; Lipomycetales; Lipomycetaceae
Description: LSU rRNA
Rfam family: Eukaryotic large subunit ribosomal RNA
Source: RNAcentral
UUGCAUUUUCAUAAGCGGAGGAAAAGAAACCAACAGGGAUUGCCUUAGUAACUGCGAGUGAAGCGGCAAGAGCUCAAAUUUGAAAUCUGGCACCUUCGGUGUCCGAGUUGUAAUUUGUAGAAGCAUCUUUUGGAUUGGUCCUUGCAUAUGUUCCUUGGAACAGGACAUCAUAGAGGGUGAGAAUCCCGUUCAUGGUGGGGAAUCCAAUUCUUUGUAAAGUGCUUUCGAAGAGUCGAGUUGUUUGGGAAUGCAGCUCUAAGUGGGUGGUAAAUUCCAUCUAAAGCUAAAUAUUGGCGAGAGACCGAUAGCGAACAAGUACAGUGAUGGAAAGAUGAAAAGAACUCCGAAAGGAGAGUGAAAAAGGACGUGAAAUUGUUGAAAGGGAAGUGCUUGAGAUCAGUCUUAAGGUUUAGUGAUCAGUCUUCCUUUUGGUUGGUGCACUCACUAUUUCUUAGGCCAACAUCAGUUUUCGCGGUAGGAUAAUGACAUUGGAAUGUGGCUCUUUCGGGAGUGUUAUAGCCUUUGUUGAUACUACCUGCUUAGACUGAGGACCGCGCUUUUGCUAGGAUGUUGGCAUAAUGAUCUUAAGCAGCCCGUCUUGAACCCGGCCAA